This 183-nucleotide unclassified non-coding RNA is filed under the name uncultured Clavicipitaceae. RNAcentral describes it as "partial internal transcribed spacer 2". Lineage: Eukaryota; Fungi; Ascomycota; Sordariomycetes; Hypocreales; Clavicipitaceae. The record is from RNAcentral.
CAACCCUCAAGCCCCCGCUUGGUGUUGGGUGCCGGCGCCGGCGCCUGCGAGUCUUCUCGCAGCAGCGCCCGCCGCCCCCGAAAUUGAUUGGCGGUCUCGUCGCGACCUCCCUUGCGUAGUAACAUACCACCUCGCAUGGCGGAGCGCGGCGCGGCCACACCGUAAAACAACCCAAUUUCUCAG